Molecule: ribosomal RNA, 265 nt
Filed under: uncultured archaeon
Lineage: Archaea
Description: partial 16S ribosomal RNA
Rfam family: Archaeal small subunit ribosomal RNA
Source: RNAcentral
ACACGACUACAUUAGAUACCCGCGUAGUCCAGGGUGUAAACGCUGCGGGCUUGGUGUUGGGGGUCCUUUGAGGGCGCCCAGUGCCGGAGAGAAGUUGUUAAGCCUGCUGCUUGGGGAGUACGUCCGCAAGGAUGAAACUUAAGGGAAUUGGCGGGGGAGCACCGCAACGGGAGGAGCGUGCGGUUCAAUUGGAUUCAACGCCGGACAACUCACCAGGAGCGACGGUUACAUGAAGGCCAGGCUGAUGACCUUGCCUGAUUUUCCG